This 117-nucleotide ribosomal RNA is filed under the name Danio rerio (zebrafish). Lineage: Eukaryota; Metazoa; Chordata; Actinopteri; Cypriniformes; Danionidae. The record is from RNAcentral.
AGCUACAGCCACAUCACCUUGCAGUACAAGACCGGUUACUCACUGAAGCUAAGCAGGGCUGAGCCUGGUCAGUACCUGGAUGGGAGACCUCAUGGGAACACUAGGUUGCUGUUGAGA